This 224-nucleotide ribosomal RNA is filed under the name Vibrio parahaemolyticus. Its description in RNAcentral is "partial 16S ribosomal RNA". It matches the Rfam family "Bacterial small subunit ribosomal RNA", at positions 407 to 623 of the family's 1533-position model. Lineage: Bacteria; Pseudomonadati; Pseudomonadota; Gammaproteobacteria; Vibrionales; Vibrionaceae. The record is from RNAcentral.
GAAGAAGGCCUUCGGGUUGUAAAGCACUUUCAGUCGUGAGGAAGGCGGUGUAGUUAAUAGCUGCAUCGUUUGACGUUAGCGACAGAAGAAGCACCGGCUAACUCCGUGCCAGCAGCCGCGGUAAUACGGAGGGUGCGAGCGUUAAUCGGAAUUACUGGGCGUAAAGCGCAUGCAGGUGGUUUGUUAAGUCAGAUGUGAAAGCCCGGGGCUCAACCUCGGAAUUG